Molecule: long non-coding RNA, 502 nt
Organism: Calidris pugnax (ruff)
Lineage: Eukaryota; Metazoa; Chordata; Aves; Charadriiformes; Scolopacidae
Exons: 4
Source: RefSeq, a predicted model, not a curated record
UGGAAAACCUAUUUUCAAGUGAACUUGGAGCAUGGGCACUCUCUUGGAGAGAAGGAAUAAAAAGAGAGAACUGCAAAAAAAGUUUGAAGAGCCCUGUGCUCCUGAAGGGCUGCCUGCCCUUCAUUUUAGCAGCACACGAGAACCGUGAGAGGAAGACAGUUCCAGGCUUUGGACCAAAUAAAGACAUUUGCUGAAUGUGAGCCAAGACCCUUACCGGAUGGCAAACCUUUCAGCUGAGAUGGAUUAGGAUAGGAUGUUUUCCUGAAUUGAUUACAACCUGGUGGAGCUGCUGGAAGGCUCUCAGAGGCCCAUGGGCUCCACCAGGAUGACAUGCUGACGAGCGGCCCCAUAAUGACAGGAAAGUGUGAGGUGCUCCAGGAUUCCUGAAGCCAGCGAAGCGCCAUUGUGCCCGAUGGACUCAUCUCCUCCAGGUCUCGUCUCCCCAGAGGGUUCCCUGGCACAGCACAGGCCUGAGGUGGCACACAGGCCUCCUGUCCCCGUC